UGGGGAAUUUUGGACAAUGGGCGAAAGCCUGAUCCAGCCAUGCCGCGUGAGUGAAGAAGGCCUUCGGGUUGUAAAGCUCUUUCGGACAGAAAGAAAUCGCAUGAACUAAUACUUUGUGCGGAUGACGGUACUGUAAGAAGAAGCACCGGCUAACUACGUGCCAGCAGCCGCGGUAAUACGUAGGGUGCGAGCGUUAAUCGGAAUUACUGGGCGUAAAGGGUGCGCAGGCGGUUAUAUAAGACAGAUGUGAAAUCCCCGGGCUCAACCUGGGAACUGCGUUUGUGACUGUAUGACUAGAGUACGGUAGAGAGGGGUGGAAUUCCUGGUGUAGCAGUGAAAUGCGUAGAUAUCAGGAGGAACAUCGAUGGCGAAGGCAGCCCCUUGGACCUGUACUGACGCUCAUGCACGAAAGCGUGGGGAGCAAACAG
This 428-nucleotide ribosomal RNA is filed under the name uncultured bacterium. RNAcentral's name for it is "bacterial SSU rRNA". It matches the Rfam family "Bacterial small subunit ribosomal RNA", at positions 355 to 775 of the family's 1533-position model. The record is from RNAcentral.